GGGAUGAGCUCAAGCUUAAAAUCUCCGUGCAAUUUUUGCGCGGCGAAUUGUAGUCUAUAGAAGCGUGGUCAGUAUGAGCACUUGGGUUAAGUUCCUUGGAAGAGGACAGCAUGGAGGGUGAUACUCCCGUUCAUCCCUAAGUUGCUUGUGCGUACGACCCGUUUUCUUUGAGUCGCGUUGUUUGAGAAUGCAGCGCAAAGUAGGUGGUAAAUUCCAUCUAAAGCUAAAUAUUGGUGCGAGACCGAUAGCAUACAAGUACCGUGAGGGAAAGAUGAAAAGAACUUUGAAAAUAGAGUUAAAGAGUACCUGAAACUGCUGAAAGGUAACCAAAUCGUUUCCAGUGUCUAUAAUCCGUAGUAUAUUUCAUUGACGAGCGUGUGCGUGCGUGUGCUGUUGCAGUGGCCUUUUGGCUGCGCUCGGCGUGUGUGCUGUGUGUGCUUGCUGGUGCCCUGUGCUACGGUGGGACGUCAAGGUCAGUUCGUAUGCUGCGGGAAAUGGCCACUGAGGAGGUAGGGCUUACGCUUGCGUUUGUCUGUUAUAUCUUGGUGGACGAGUAGUCGCGGUUGGGACUGAGGUGCCUACAACGUGCUUUUGAGUGGACUUGGGUCUCCGUGUGCGCCGUGUGCGGAUAGCUUGCUAUGCGUGUGUGAUUGUGUAUGGAUUGAUGCGAGUCGUAACUUGUAGCCGUUCGGGACGUUGACG
RNAcentral lists this ribosomal RNA (702 nucleotides) under Plasmopara viticola. RNAcentral's name for it is "partial large subunit ribosomal RNA". It matches the Rfam family "Eukaryotic large subunit ribosomal RNA", at positions 100 to 635 of the family's 3401-position model. Lineage: Eukaryota; Oomycota; Peronosporomycetes; Peronosporales; Peronosporaceae. The record is from RNAcentral.